GGAGGGCGGCUCAGCCCAACAACGUGACAGAGCAGUUUAAACCAGGGGCAUAAUAUGUUUACAUUCCAGAGUUGAGGCUAGGACGACUUGCUUAUCUUCCUUAGUGCACAUAUCAAGACCGCUUCUGGAACUCAGGUAGACGAUUCCUGCAAUAAUAGCCUCACAGACGUUGUUUUAAGGAAGAAUACAGUGCUAUUUAAGACCUCAUUCUGAAAGUCAGUCCUGAUUGGGUCUAGCGGUCUUUCAUAUAUUAUUGCCACAAUUUCCGAGUUCAUCAAGUGCAUGUCAUGGCUGGGGAGGCACAGGUUUAAAAUCGUCAAGCGCGCAAUCUCUGAUGAUGUUGGCUUGGCUGCCCUUGUUAGACAUAUGAAAGCGGCGGUAAUUAUACUACUCAACGACAUGUAUGCACGUGAUGAACCACUUGUUGUACACUGGGAGGAACGCAGCAAGGCUAAUCUUAGGGAAGACAUGGACAGCGAGUGGGUAACUUUAAUAGGUACCUGACAGAAUGAGACUUGACUUCACAUACCUCUUUCAUGUCCUACCGUCUCCUGAUGCCGAUUGUAGAAUGCUUUACCGCAAGACAAUAGACAAUUUGGCUAUGGCUAAUACCAAAAGCUGACACUUCGUAUGUGAAUCUCUUCAUGAAUUAUUCUAAAACUAUACUGACUUAGCGCCUGCUGUAUUUCAAAACAGAGGCAAGGUGAAAUAUGACUGUGAGGAGGGAUAUGACCUUAAAACUAGGGACUGGUGGAAGAGGCAUUCAAAGGGUGAAGGGAACAUGAUUCUUCCACCUAGGGAUGAAUCUGGGGAAAAGCUUGGCUAGUUAACCACUUGCGUAAACCGUAUGCCAGCGCCUCAGUGGCGUGGUUGGUAUGGUCUUUGUCAUCCGCGAGUUCGAUUCUCGGGCAUUCCAUUGAGGGGUCAGAGAUCAUUGUGUAUUUCUGGUGAUAGAAGUUUGCUCUCGACGCGGUUCGGAAGUCACAUAAAGCCGUUGGUCUCGUUGCUGAAUAACCACUGGUUACACGCAACGUAAAAAAACCAGAAAAACCCAACAUGUAUUAUGCCGAGAUACAUGGCAAACGGAAUAUUCCAUGCACUCAAACAUGCACCUAUAACCUCAGUGGAAAUAUUACCCCUGGUGAUUUUCGGAAAAAAUGCAGGAGGGCAUAGCUGCAAAGUCAGAGAAUACAAUGCCUGAUUUUUAAAGCAAGAGAAACCUAUUCUGGCUGCGAUGUUUUCGGGGAAGUCACAACCUCUCUCUCUCUCUCUCUCUCUCUCUCUCUCUCUCUC
Molecule: long non-coding RNA, 1293 nt
Organism: Macrobrachium nipponense
Lineage: Eukaryota; Metazoa; Arthropoda; Malacostraca; Decapoda; Palaemonidae
Exons: 3
Source: RefSeq, a predicted model, not a curated record